AAGUCGUAACAAGGUUUCCGUAGGUGAACCUGCGGAAGGAUCAUCAAUAGUUCCUAAAGUGCCGUGUAUUCUACACGGUGCUUCAAACCUUUUUGUGAAUUGUGUUGAUGUACUCGGUGGGUGGUAUUUGUGAGUGGUGUGGUUUUUUGUUAAAUCGCAUUGCCACUCACUCUGUCUGCCCACCGUCAAUAUUAUCGUAACAAACUCUAAAUAUAUUUCAAAAGUCUGAUAAAUUAUAUAUUUAUAUAUAUAAAAUGUAAAUACAACUUACAGCAAUGGAUCUCUUGGCUCUG
Molecule: unclassified non-coding RNA, 293 nt
Filed under: fungal sp.
Lineage: Eukaryota; Fungi
Description: partial internal transcribed spacer region
Rfam family: Eukaryotic small subunit ribosomal RNA (bases 1-46)
Source: RNAcentral